AUGGAUAAUUUAAUCCAGAAUCUGCCUGGUGCCUACCCUAAUACCCCAUUGGAUCAACUUGCCAUUAUCCCAAUAAUUGAUCUUCAUGUGGGCAACUUUUAUUUAUCAUUUACAAAUGAAGUCUUGUAUAUGCUGCUCACUGUCCUUUUGGUUGUUUUUCUUUUUUUUGUUAUUAUGAAAAAGGGAGGUGGAAAGUCAGUGCCAAAUGCAUGGCAAUCCUUGGUCGAGCUUAUUUAUGAUUUCGUCCUGAACCUGGUAAACGAACAAAUAGGUGGUCUUUCCAGAAAUGUGAAACAAAAGUUUUUCCCUCGCAUCUCGGUCACUUUUACUUUUUCGUUAUUUCGUAAUCCCCAGGGAGAUCUUGGUCCCUUAUUUAUAGUUCUAGCAUUAACCGGUCUGGAAUUAGGUGUAGCGAUAUCACAAGCUCAUGUUUCUACGAUCUCAAUUUGUAUUUACUUGAAUGAUGCUACAAAUCUCCAUCAAAAUGAGUCAUUUCAUAAUUGA
RNAcentral lists this ribosomal RNA (504 nucleotides) under Triticum aestivum (bread wheat). RNAcentral's name for it is "partial small subunit ribosomal RNA". Lineage: Eukaryota; Viridiplantae; Streptophyta; Magnoliopsida; Poales; Poaceae. The record is from RNAcentral.